This 253-nucleotide ribosomal RNA is filed under the name uncultured bacterium. RNAcentral's name for it is "partial 16S ribosomal RNA". It matches the Rfam family "Bacterial small subunit ribosomal RNA", at positions 524 to 776 of the family's 1533-position model. The record is from RNAcentral.
GACGAAGGGGGCUAGCGUUGUUCGGAAUUACUGGGCGUAAAGCGCGUGUAGGCGGUUGUCCAAGUUGGAUGUGAAAGCCUUGAGCUUAACUCAAGAAAUGCAUUCAGGACUGGAUGACUAGAGGACCGGAGAGGAUAGUGGAAUUCCCAGUGUAGUGGUGAAAUACGUAGAGAUUGGGAAGAACACCAGUGGCGAAAGCGGCUCUCUGGUCCUAAACUGACGCUGAGGGGCGAAAGCGUGGGGAGCGAACGGG